UACGGAAGGCAGCAGUGGGGAAUAUUGCACAAUGGGCGAAAGCCUGAUGCAGCUAUGCCGCGUGUAUGAAGAAGGCCUUAGGGUUGUAAAGUACUUUCAUCGGGGAGGAAAAACAAAACUAAUAAUUUUAUUUCUUGACGUUACCCGAAAAAGAAGCACCGGCUAACUCCGUGCCAGCAGCCGCGGUAAUACGGAGGGUGCUAGCGUUAAUCAGAAUUACUGGGCGUAAAGAGCACGUAGGUGGUUUUUUUAAGUCAGAUGUGAAUCCCUGGGCUUAACCUGGAACUGCAUUUUGAAACUGAAAUACUAGAGUAUCGUAGAGGGAGGUAGAAUUCUAGGUGUAGCGGUGAAAUGCGUAGAUAUCUGGAGGAAUACCUGUGGCGAAAGCGGCCUCCUAAACGAAUACUGACACUGAGGUGCGAAAGCGUGGGGAGCAAACGAGGAUUAGAUA
Molecule: ribosomal RNA, 451 nt
Filed under: uncultured bacterium
Lineage: Bacteria
Description: bacterial SSU rRNA
Rfam family: Bacterial small subunit ribosomal RNA
Source: RNAcentral